GACAGAGGUGCCGAGCGUUAGGCGGAAUCACUGGGCUUAAAGCGUGUGUAGGCGGAUCUGUAAGUACCUUGUGAAAUCCCACGGCUCAACCGUGGAACUGCUUGGUAUACUGUGGGUCUUGAGCCACCUAGGGGCAAGUGGAACAAACGGUGGAGCGGUGAAAUGCGUAGAUAUCGUUUGGAACGCCAAUGGUGAAAACAACUUGCUGGGGGUGUGCUGACGCUGAGACACGAAAGCCAGGGGAGCAAACGGG
RNAcentral lists this ribosomal RNA (253 nucleotides) under uncultured bacterium. RNAcentral describes it as "partial 16S ribosomal RNA". It matches the Rfam family "Bacterial small subunit ribosomal RNA", at positions 524 to 776 of the family's 1533-position model. The record is from RNAcentral.